Molecule: long non-coding RNA, 926 nt
Filed under: Mus musculus (house mouse)
Lineage: Eukaryota; Metazoa; Chordata; Mammalia; Rodentia; Muridae
Description: Loc100862275u
Source: RNAcentral
GCAAUAAUACACACGAAAUUAAUGUAAAUUAAAAAAGAAGAAGAAGAAAAGCCAAGUUAAGCACUGUCCUUUGUUAAAGCAAACCCAGAAAGUCCUUAAAAUAGGAAUUCCUGAAAUUGGGCAAAAAACCCCAACAAAUUGUAUUAUUUUCACGUGAACCACAUAGAACCACUGCCAAGUCAAAAAUAGAAUUUGCCAGCCGCCGAGACAUUUCUCCCUUUAGCUCACUCAGCCUCAACUCCUCUCUGCACCAAAAUGAACUAGGGACUGACUUCCUCGGUUUAUUCCCAGACACUCUCCUCCCAUGUAUUUAUGUAGGAGAAGGAACUCAAGAAGUUGUCUAUGGCACACCCUCAUUCCAUCCCUGGGAGAUUCUGGGCUUGUGAUUCACUGCUGAGCCACAUUCCAAGCCCCUCACAAAAAGACUUCAGGCAAAGGCUCUACCACUGAGCUAUGCCCCCAGCCUCUCACGGGGUGGGGGUGGGGGGAUGGGGGUGGGAGUGGGAGAUUUUAGGCAGGGCUUCUAGCCACGUCCCAGCCACUCACUGGGGGAUUCGAGGCGGGGGCUCUACCCCUGAGCCACACCCAUAGUCCUCACGGGUGGUUUCUAGGCUUUCUCUCCAUUGUUGAAACCUUCCCCCCAACCACAGUGUGAUAUGUACACAGCAUGUUAUGGGAAAAUCAGGGUAAUUGGCUCACCCAUCUCUUCAGGCACAUAUGGCUUCUGUGGAGGCAGGCAGGAAGGGACAAAGAAUCCCACCUCCAUGACUUUGCCAGCAGUGUCGUCCAGCAUUAGGACUUUUGCUGUGAUUAGGUGACAAGACAAAUGGGAUAUCAGGGAAGUCUUUACCUUCUUUUCGUCCCCUCUGUGGGUGCUGCAGUCCCUGGAGGAGUGGUCGAUGGUGAGGGAGGCUUCCAUACAGCCC